Molecule: transfer RNA, 71 nt
Filed under: Balanoglossus clavigerus
Lineage: Eukaryota; Metazoa; Hemichordata; Enteropneusta; Ptychoderidae
Description: transfer RNA-Asn
Rfam family: tRNA
About the family: Transfer RNA (tRNA) molecules are approximately 80 nucleotides in length. Their secondary structure includes four short double-helical elements and three loops (D, anti-codon, and T loops).
Source: RNAcentral
UAAAUGGGAGCUUGGUGGAAAGCAUUUGGCUGUUAACCAAAAAGAUGCGGGAUCGAGGCCCGCCCGUUUAG